GUCCAGACUCCUACGGGAGGCAGCAGUGGGGAAUAUUGCACAAUGGGGGAAACCCUGAUGCAGCGGCGCCGCGUGAGUGGAGAAGUAUUUCGGUAUGUAAAGCUCUAUCAGCAGGGGAGAAAAUGACGGUACCUGACUAAGAAGCCCCGGCUAACUACGUGCCAGCAGCCGCGGUAAUACGUAGGAGGCAAGCGUUAUCCGGAUUUACCGGGUGUAAAGGGAGCGUAGACGGUGAUGCAAGUCAGAAGUGAAAGCCCGGGGCUCAACUCCGGGACUGCUUUUGAAACUGUGUGACUGGAGUGCAGGAGAGGUAAGCGGAAUUCCUGGUGUAGCGGUGAAAUGCGUAGAUAUCAGGAGGAACACCAGUGGCGAAGGCGGCUUACUGGACUGUAACUGACGUUGAGGCUCGAAAGCGUGGGGAGCAAACAGGAUUAGAUACCCGUGUAA
This 447-nucleotide ribosomal RNA is filed under the name uncultured bacterium. Its description in RNAcentral is "bacterial SSU rRNA". It matches the Rfam family "Bacterial small subunit ribosomal RNA", at positions 329 to 793 of the family's 1533-position model. The record is from RNAcentral.